AGUGAACGCUGGCGGUAGGCCUAACACAUGCAAGUCGAACGGCAGCACAGUAAGAGCUUGCUCUUACGGGUUGCGAGUGGCGGACGGGUGAGGUAUACAUCGUAAUCUACUUUUUCGUGGGGGAUAACGUAGGUAAACUUACUCUAAUACCGCAUACGACCUACGGUUGAAAGCAGGGGAUCUUCGGACCUUGCGCGAUUGAAUGAGCCGAUGUCGGAUUAGCUAGUUGGCGGGGUAAAGGCCCACCAAGGCGACGAUCCGUAGCUGGUCUGAGAGGAUGAUCGGCCACACUGGAACUGAGACACGGUCCAGACUCCUAAGGGAGGCAGCAGUGGGGAAUAUUGGACAAUGGGCGCAAGCCUGAUCCAGCCAUACCGCGUGGGUGAAGAAGGCCUUCGGGUUGUAAAGCCCUUUUGUUGGGAAAGAAAAGCAGCAGGUUAAUACCCCGCUGUUCUGACGGUACCCAAAGAAUAAGCACCGGCUAACUUCGUG
Molecule: ribosomal RNA, 492 nt
Filed under: uncultured bacterium
Lineage: Bacteria
Description: partial 16S ribosomal RNA
Rfam family: Bacterial small subunit ribosomal RNA
Source: RNAcentral